AUUGAACGCUGGCGGCAUGCCUAACACAUGCAAGUCGAACGGCAGCACAGUAUGUAGCAAUACAUAUGGGUGGCGAGUGGCGGACGGGUGAGUAACGCGUGGGAAUCUGCCCUAUAGUGGGGGACAACCCGACGAAAGUCGGGCUAAUACCGCAUACGCCUACGGGGAAGGACGUUCGGCCGGCCUAUUGGAUGAGCCCGCGUCGGAUUAGCUAGUUGGUGAGGUAAUGGCUCACCAAGGCGACGAUCCGUAGCUGGUCUGAGAGGACGAUCAGCCACACUGGGACUGAGACACGGCCCAGACUCCUACGGGAGGCAGCAGUGGGGGAAUAUUGCACAAUGGGCGAAAGACCUGAUGCAGCAAUGCCGCGUGUGUGAUGAAGGCCUC
RNAcentral lists this ribosomal RNA (387 nucleotides) under uncultured bacterium. Its description in RNAcentral is "bacterial SSU rRNA". It matches the Rfam family "Bacterial small subunit ribosomal RNA", at positions 30 to 418 of the family's 1533-position model. The record is from RNAcentral.